RNAcentral lists this ribosomal RNA (468 nucleotides) under uncultured bacterium. RNAcentral's name for it is "partial 16S ribosomal RNA". It matches the Rfam family "Bacterial small subunit ribosomal RNA", at positions 28 to 507 of the family's 1533-position model. The record is from RNAcentral.
GACGAACGCUGGCGGCGUGCUUAACACAUGCAAGUCGAACGGAAAGGCCCUGCUUUUGUGGGGUGCUCGAGUGGCGAACGGGUGAGUAACACGUGAGUAACCUGCCCUUGACUUUGGGAUAACUUCAGGAAACUGGGGCUAAUACCGGAUAGGAGCUCCUGCUGCAUGGUGGGGGUGGGUAAGUUUCGGCGGUUGGGGAUGGACUCGCGGCUUAUCAGCUUGUUGGUGGGGUAGUGGCUUACCAAGGCUUUGACGGGUAGCCGGGCUGAGAGGGGGACCGGACACGUUGGGACUGAGAUACGACCCAGACCCCUACGGGACGCAGCAGAGGAGAAUAGUGCACAAUGGGCGGAAGCAUGAUGCAGCAAAGCCGCGUGCGGGAUGACGGGCAUCGGGUUGUAAACCACUGUCGCCUGUGACGAAGCGUGAGUGACGGUAAUGGGUAAAGAAGCACCGGCUAACUACGUG